CGGGGUGUAGCUCAGCCUGGUAGAGCACUGCCUUCGGGAGGCAGGGGUCGCUGGUUCGAAUCCAGUCACCCCGACCA
Molecule: transfer RNA, 77 nt
Filed under: Gammaproteobacteria bacterium
Lineage: Bacteria; Pseudomonadati; Pseudomonadota; Gammaproteobacteria
Also listed under: 1 other name
Description: tRNA-Pro
Rfam family: tRNA
About the family: Transfer RNA (tRNA) molecules are approximately 80 nucleotides in length.
Source: RNAcentral